GGAGUACGGCCGCAAGGUUAAAACUCAAAUGAAUUGACGGGGGCCCGCACAAGCGGUGGAGCAUGUGGUUUAAUUCGAUGCAACGCGAAGAACCUUACCUGGUCUUGACAUCCACAGAACUUUCCAGAGAUGGAUUGGUGCCUUCGGGAACUGUGAGACAGGUGCUGCAUGGCUGUCGUCAGCUCGUGUUGUGAAAUGUUGGGUUAAGUCCCGCAACGAGCGCAACCCUUAUCCUUUGUUGCCAGCGGU
This 249-nucleotide ribosomal RNA is filed under the name Klebsiella pneumoniae. Its description in RNAcentral is "partial 16S ribosomal RNA". It matches the Rfam family "Bacterial small subunit ribosomal RNA", at positions 877 to 1125 of the family's 1533-position model. Lineage: Bacteria; Pseudomonadati; Pseudomonadota; Gammaproteobacteria; Enterobacterales; Enterobacteriaceae. The record is from RNAcentral.